Molecule: ribosomal RNA, 548 nt
Filed under: uncultured Glomus
Lineage: Eukaryota; Fungi; Glomeromycota; Glomeromycetes; Glomerales; Glomeraceae
Description: partial 18S ribosomal RNA
Source: RNAcentral
UUUCCCGUAAGGCGCCGAAUGAGUCAUUAAAAAAUUAACUUCAUCCGAUCCCUAGUCGGCAUAGUUUAUGGUUAAGACUACGACGGUAUCUGAUCGUCUUCGAUCCCCUAACUUUCGUUCUUGAUUAAUGAAAACAUCCUUGGCAAAUGCUUUCGCAGUAGUUAGUCUUCAAUAAAUCCAAGAAUUUCACCUCUGACAAUUGAAUACUAAUGCCCCCAACUAUCCCUAUUAAUCAUUACGUCGAUCCUAGAAACCAACAAAAUAGAAUCGAUCGUCCUAUUUCGUUAUUCCAUGCUAAUGUAUUCAAGCGUAAGCCUGCUUUAAGCACUCUAAUUUUUUCAAAGUAACAGUCCUGUUUCCCCGCAACACCAAAUUAAUGGCAUCACGGUUCUUCAAGAGGGAGGGACCAGUGAGACCAGUGCAUACCAGUGGCACGACCGACCUACUGGCCCCGAAAUUCAACUACGAGCUUUUUAACUGCAACAACUUUAAUAUACGCUAUUGGAGCUGGAAUUACCGCGGCUGCUGGCACCAGACUUGCCCUCCAA